Molecule: ribosomal RNA, 1347 nt
Filed under: uncultured bacterium
Lineage: Bacteria
Description: partial 16S ribosomal RNA
Rfam family: Bacterial small subunit ribosomal RNA
Source: RNAcentral
GACGAACGCUGGCGGCGUGCUUAACACAUGCAAGUCGAACGGAAAGGCCCUGCUUUUGUGGGGUGCUCGAGUGGCGAACGGGUGAGUAACACGUGAGUAACCUGCCCUUGACUUUGGGAUAACUUCAGGAAACUGGGGCUAAUACCGGAUAGGAGCUCCUGCUGCAUGGUGGGGGUUGGAAAGUUUCGGCGGUUGGGGAUGGACUCGCGGCUUAUCAGCUUGUUGGUGGGGUAGUGGCUUACCAAGGCUUUGACGGGUAGCCGGCCUGAGAGGGUGACCGGCCACAUUGGGACUGAGAUACGGCCCAGACUCCUACGGGAGGCAGCAGUGGGGAAUAUUGCACAAUGGGCGGAAGCCUGAUGCAGCAACGCCGCGUGCGGGAUGACGGCCUUCGGGUUGUAAACCGCUUUCGCCUGUGACGAAGCGUGAGUGACGGUAAUGGGUAAAGAAGCACCGGCUAACUACGUGCCAGCAGCCGCGGUGAUACGUAGGGUGCGAGCGUUGUCCGGAUUUAUUGGGCGUAAAGGGCUCGUAGGUGGUUGAUCGCGUCGGAAGUGUAAUCUUGGGGCUUUAACCCUGAGCGUGCUUUCGAUACGGGUUGACUUGAGGAAGGUAGGGGAGAAUGGAAUUCCUGGUGGAGCGGUGGAAUGCGCAAAUAUCAGGAGGAACACCAGUGGCGAAGGCGGUUCUCUGGGCCUUUCCUGACGCUGAGGAGCGAAAGCGUGGGGAGCGAACAGGCUUAGAUACCCUGGUAGUCCACGCUGUAAACGGUGGGUACUAGGUGUGGGGUCCAUUCCACGGGUUCCGUGCCGUAGCUAACGCUCUAAGUACCCCGCCUGGGGAGUACGGCCGCAAGGCUAAAACUCAAAGGAAUUGACGGGGCCCCGCACAAGCGGCGGAGCAUGCGGAUUAAUUCGAUGCAACGCGUAGAACCUUACCUGGGUUUGACAUGGAUCGGGAGUGCUCAGAGAUGGGUGUGCCUCUUUUGGGGUCGGUUCACAGGUGGUGCAUGGCUGUCGUCAGCUCGUGUCGUGAGAUGUUGGGUUAAGUCCCGCAACGAGCGCAACCCUUGUUCACUGUUGCCAGCACGUUAUGGUGGGGACUCAGUGGAGACCGCCGGGGUCAACUCGGAGGAAGGUGGGGAUGACGUCAAGUCAUCAUGCCCCUUAUGUCCGGGGCUUCACGCAUGCUACAAUGGCUGGUACAGAGAGUGGCGAGCCUGUGAGGGUGAGCGAAUCUCGGAAAGCCGGUCUCAGUUCGGAUUGGAGUCUGCAACUCGACCUCAUGAAGUCGGAGUCGCUAGUAAUCGCAGAUCAGCAACGCUGCGGUGAAUACGUUCCCGGGGCU